AUACGUAGGUGGCAAGCGUUGUCCGGAAUUAUUGGGCGUAAAGCGCGCGCAGGCGGUCCUUUAAGUCUGAUGUGAAAGCCCACGGCUCAACCGUGGAGGGUCAUUGGAAACUGGGGGACUUGAGUACAGAAGAGGAAAGCGGAAUUCCACGUGUAGCGGUGAAAUGCGUAGAGAUGUGGAGGAACACCAGUGGCGAAGGCGGCUUUCUGGUCUGUAACUGACGCUGAGGCGCGAAAGUGUGGGGAGCAAACAGUAUUAGAUACCCUGGUAGUCCACGCCGUAAACGAUGAGUGCUAAGUGUUAGGGGGUUUCCGCCCCUUAGUGCGGCAGCUAACGCAUUAAGCACUCCGCCUGGGGAGUACGGCCGCAAGGCUGAA
RNAcentral lists this ribosomal RNA (377 nucleotides) under uncultured bacterium. Its description in RNAcentral is "bacterial SSU rRNA". It matches the Rfam family "Bacterial small subunit ribosomal RNA", at positions 523 to 898 of the family's 1533-position model. The record is from RNAcentral.